RNAcentral lists this long non-coding RNA (1911 nucleotides) under Theobroma cacao (cacao). RNAcentral's name for it is "long non-coding RNA (TCAC_LNC006261)". Lineage: Eukaryota; Viridiplantae; Streptophyta; Magnoliopsida; Malvales; Malvaceae. The record is from RNAcentral.
AAAUAUUCUGUUUUCUUAUAAAACAAUAUUUAUAGAGUUAUACGUGAAUAAUUUUUAUAGCGUAAAAGCUAAAUAAAUUUAUACAUACUUAAAUACAGUAAGCCAAAAUAUUUAAUUUAAUUUACAAUAACAAGAGGGCCCCCGAAUAAACAAAAGUAAAGAGGACUGUGAACCUACGGUUUGGAAAAUGCAGAUCCCACUGUAGUCCUCGAUGAGAUCAGCUAUCUACAGUCUAUACUGAACCUGAAAUGGGUGGAAAGGAGGGUGGUGAGAUUAUAAAAUCCCAAUGAGUAAACAAACAUCAUCAUAAACAUCUAGAGUUGAGUACAUGGAGACAAUAAAGUAAAUCAUCAUAAACUGGGUUAUAGCAUUAGAACACAUUUUGUUCAAAACACGUAAAGAGGCUUAUGAAUCUCAUAAAAAUCUAGGCUUGUGCCAUAAAUCCAUUCUCGGGGACACCUUGGCCGAGGCAUCCUACCGAGACCGCCAAGGCUAUUAAAAUUCACAUUUCACAUAAAUCAUGUUUUUGUUUUGAAAACAUAGCCGUUCCUUGGCGUUGGCUGAGUUCCCCCUCACGUGGUGGUUUAGCGUGAAGUGAACCCUAAACUUUACCCCAGGAGAUACCCUACGCGCCUCUCCGUUCGAGGUAAGAAUAUAAUGGGGUUUACCGUGCCCCUCUAAAAGGCUGGUCCACAGAAACCCCCUACUGCAGUGAUUAAUUAAUAUAUAAUCCACCAUAUAAUAAAACUCAAUAACAUGAUAUGGCAAUUUUGUAAUUCGUAGUUUUUCAAGGUAACCAAACAAUUCGCAUUUCAAUACAAUUGCCAACUAGCCAAUCAUGCUCGAUUUAUCAUAAGCCAGUUAAUUUAAACAAUCAAAUUGCCACAAUUAACAGUCUCCGUGUACUCUAUUUUUCAAAAUCACUAUUAAUUUCAAAACAAUUUAUAAUUUAAUUUCAUUGAAACUCAUUUAUUCAUAAAACAUGAAAAUUUAUCUUUUUAAAUUCCUUUUUCCAUAGAAUUCAUGAAAGCAUCUAAAAACCACCCUAGAUAAUUAAAAUGACAGUAAGUUUACUCACAAUGUCUAGAAUGCAGACUUUCGAAGCACUCUGUCUACUGGUCCUCGGAUGCAAUUUCCUUGCCUUUAUUGGAGGACUCACCACCUUGACACAGUACAAAAUCGAGAAUUUCACUAAGUUGGUACUAAAUCAAAAUUAAACUAAUUUAGACUACCAAUGCAUGAUAUGGAAUGCAAAAAUGCACUGGUAACUAUCUAAACCCGGUAUUAGCCUAAUUCGUCUUAUCACCCGAUUAAAUUCCUAACGGGUCCGUUUAAACUCCAAUUUAAUUCUUUUCAGUUUCUAUACCUCAAUUGCACCCAAAUUAACUUAAUGUCCCUCAGUGUGGUGCAAAUUAUCAGUCCCAACAGCAAAUUACGAAAAUACCCCUAGUGGGUAAAAAUUCGUAUUUUUGCUCCGAAAAUUCCCAUUAUUUUUCUAGGCUCAUAAUUCAUUAUUCCUUAACCAAUUCUCCUAGAAUAAAAUCAAACUCAUCCUCACUCACUACAUGGUAAAUUCAGCCAUUAAUGGUUGUGGGAGAAAAUAAAUUCUUUUCUUGUUGUUUUGUUUCUAAAUAUGCUAAACUAACUAAAAACACUAACAUAAAUUAAAAUCAAAUAAAUCCAACAACUUUCUCUCUCCUAACCCAUUUUGAUCAGCCAACAAUUCAUCAUAAAAACAUGCAAUUUGAGCAUGGAAAAUGAAGAGAAAUGCUUAAGGAAAAUAGAUUUCAAGCUUAAGUUGAAAAAUCCUACCUUUUUCACUUGUUUUCCUUGAUUUUUCACACUUUUUCUCUUGAAAUUCCUCACCUAGGUUUUGUUUUUCCUUUCUUUCCCUCUCUUCCUUGCUUGGCC